AACGAACGCUGGCGGCAUGCCUAACACAUGCAAGUCGAACGAUCCCUUCGGGGAUAGUGGCGCACGGGUGCGUAACGCGUGGGAACCUGCCUUUAGGUUCGGAAUAACUCAGAGAAAUUUGAGCUAAUACCGGAUAAUGUCUUCGGACCAAAGAUUUAUCGCCUUUAGAUGGGCCCGCGUUGGAUUAGCUAGUUGGUGGGGUAAAGGCCUACCAAGGCGACGAUCCAUAGCUGGUCUUAGAGGAUGAUCAGCCACACUGGGACUGAGACACGGCCCAGACUCCUACGGGAGGCAGCAGUGGGGAAUAUUGGACAAUGGGCGAAAGCCUGAUCCAGCAAUGCCGCGUGAGUGAUGAAGGCCCUAGGGUUGUAAAGCUCUUUUACCCGGGAUGAUAAUGACAGUACCGGGAGAAUAAGCUCCGGCUAACUCCGUG
Molecule: ribosomal RNA, 433 nt
Filed under: uncultured Erythrobacter sp.
Lineage: Bacteria; Pseudomonadati; Pseudomonadota; Alphaproteobacteria; Sphingomonadales; Erythrobacteraceae
Description: bacterial SSU rRNA
Rfam family: Bacterial small subunit ribosomal RNA
Source: RNAcentral